Non-coding RNA from Ciona savignyi (Pacific transparent sea squirt), 72 nucleotides. Lineage: Eukaryota; Metazoa; Chordata; Ascidiacea; Phlebobranchia; Cionidae. The record is from Rfam.
UCCCAGGUGGUCUAGUGGUUAGGAUUCGUGGCUCACACCCACGCGGACCGUGUUCGAUUCCCGGUCUGGGAA